RNAcentral lists this ribosomal RNA (440 nucleotides) under uncultured bacterium. RNAcentral describes it as "partial 16S ribosomal RNA". It matches the Rfam family "Bacterial small subunit ribosomal RNA", at positions 338 to 795 of the family's 1533-position model. The record is from RNAcentral.
CCUACGGGUGGCUGCAGUGGGGAAUAUUCCACAAUGGGGGAAACCCUGAUGCAGCGACGCCGCGUGAAGGAAGAAGUAUUUCGGUAUGUAAACUUCUAUCAGCAGGGAAGAAAAUGACGGUACCUGACUAAGAAGCCCCGGCUAACUACGUGCCAGCAGCCGCGGUAAUACGUAGGGGGCAAGCGUUAUCCGGAUUUACUGGGUGUAAAGGGAGCGUAGGCGGUUUAGCAAGUCAGAAGUGAAAGCCCGGGGCUCAACUGCGGGACUGCAUUUGAAACUGUUGAACUAGAGUGCAGGAGAGGUAAGUGGAAUUCCUAGUGUAGCGGUGAAAUGCGUAGAUAUUAGGAGGAACACCAGUGGCGAAGGCGGCUUACUGGACUGUAAAUGACGCUGAGGCUCGAAAGCGUGGGUAGCAAACAGGAUUAGAUACCCGGGUAGUC